This is a long non-coding RNA of Bombus pascuorum, 3357 nucleotides long. RefSeq lists it as uncharacterized. The transcript is spliced from 3 exons. The record is from RefSeq and is a predicted model, not a curated record. NCBI's taxonomy places the organism in Eukaryota, Metazoa, Arthropoda, Insecta, Hymenoptera, Apidae.
UUUACUUGCCGGCAACGCGUGAGUAAUUUAGCCUUUUUAUAACCACCAACGCGAGAUUGUAUUUUGUAGAACGGCGUUGGAUCGGUCGUACCUUCGAGCCUUCUCGUAGAUGGCCGAGAAUUCUCGUUAAAUCUCGGUUGACGGCGAGCGGGACGUCUCUCCGGUAGGUAGCUCGAAGGGAAAAGAAAGCCAAGAGUCACGGAACUACGGGCAAAGUACAUUCGUCAUCCAACGUGCGAUCAAGGUGGAUUUGGUUCUGCGCAGGCAAAAGGACGGAAAGCGUCGGCAAAGAAAAGAAUGCCGAAUCAGGACCGGAACGAAGUAGGCGGGAAAAGCAGAUGGUGGUGGCGACACCGGUGGUGGGAGCACUUAUGCAUUUAUGCAUUCAUAUUUCCGUGGUCUCUGCUCUCGAGACGAACCGUAAGAAGUCGUCCUCGUCGUCUUUCGCGGAGAGCUCUGCCGCGCGACAGCGACGAGGAGGGAGGCGGCGGCGAAGAUGACGACUAGGCGCGCGAUGGUACCUCGCCACCAUGCGAGAAGAAAGACGAGUACCACGUAGAAACGAGAGAGAGAGAGAGGAAAGAAGCGGUGGGCGUAAAGUUGCUCCGGAAUAAUAAUACAGACAGCUCGUGCCUGCUCGAGGAAAAAAUCUGAAUACAUGAAACGUAAUGACGAGCCGAGUGUGGGCCUCUCUGUGCCGUCGCAGCCAUUUCGGAGAUGUCUGUAUCCUUUUGAAAUACAAGUUUACGUUCUUUAUCGAUCGAACUUUGAUCCCUUGAACGCAUCGAUCUCCCUAACGAUCUCUCUCGAAUCUUUCGGACUUGCGACCAAAAGACGUUCUCGUCGAUCGUCGUGCGAAAAGCAAUCGCUGCUCGCGUUCUUCUUCGCGAGCCGCAAAGAAGUACGAUUUUUCAAGAAAAUCGCAGUUGUUCCCUCCGUGGAUCGAUCCCGCGAUUACGUUCGAAAUGGUAGUAAAAUUUUGACAUUUUUAAAAUACCUAGUUCGAUAGUUUACCUAGCCCGAGGCAACGUUUUCCGAGGGAACUAGAGUCGACGUCGGCUAAAGACAACUCCGACGGCGACUUAGAAGAAGGUGAAAGUGUAAACAGUACGGUACGUGAAGGAUGUAAACGGAGGAAAUUACACGAAUAAAGGGAAGGAAGGAUGAAGGAGACAAUAAGGAAGGAAGGAAGGAAGGAAGGGCGGAAGGAAGGAAGGAAGGAAGGAAGGAAGGAAGGAAGAAGGAAGGGCGCCGUCGUAGCCCGGGUACCCGUGGCUCCGCCUAUCGGCGCGCCGCCUCGCGGUGGUGAAUACAUUUAGCCUGGUUAGUUUACAAAUGAAUACAGCGAUUGAAGCAACUUAUAAUAUCAAUGUACUUCAGGCCGUCUCGCUCGCACGCCGGGCGCCACCCCUUGCGGGCAUCUCGCUUCCACCCACUCUCUCGCGGGGUUCCAUACAGAAUGGCCAUAUUAACUUGAUAAUUAGCUCGGUUAUACGACUUGCAGAUGAGGAAAGACUCGGGACGGACGUCGGCUACCCCUACCAGGAGUGGUGCCAGUGUUCCUUGCUCUGCUCCCUAUGCUAUGCUCGACUCGGCCCAGCUCCUCGUCGCUCGUAGGAUGGAUAUAGAACCCUUAGUUCGUAUUCCUCUCCCUGUCUGCCAGGAACCCCGGCGUGCUCUCUCUGCUGGCUAGCUGCGCGUUCACGCCACGUUCCGCUCUUCCUUCGACCGUUUCCCGUAGUUGCUCGAGUCGCGGAAAUCAACUCCGGUCUACUCGAGUCUAUUCGAGUCUGUCGGUUCGAACCGCUCAGUGAAAACUCUAAGUGGCUCUGGUCGUCUUGGUCUGUGCAUGGUGUUGGUGGUUCCAAGGUGUACGUCGGGGAUCACGUGUCUAGCGCACGUCGGAGGAGUCACGUGCUUGGUCGCCGCGCCGACAUCCGGAGGAUCUCUUCGACCGAAUCAUACCGAUGGUAUCCCCUAGCGGGAAGACGGACCAACACGGAAGAGGACGGACGAGGAGAGGCGAGAACUCGCGAGUCGCGAAGGACAAGGAUCGUUCGGGAUGAUCGUAAAGGCUGAACGCGUGUCGGCGACGAGACGAGCCGAGAUACAAGAACGGAGCGACAACGAAGGAAGAAACGAAUGCCAAGGAAAAGGAAUGAAACGCGCGAUAUACGAAGAGUAUUCACUAAAGAGUCAAGAUCAAGUUGGCUCCUGUGAAUGGAACACGUGUACCGUGUCACAUCUAUCUGAAAAGUUCAUCGUUUCGGAGAUCUCGUAAAAAAGUUUCCUAGAAUGCGAGCUAUAUCCGGGGCCAUGGUGGCGAGUGUGUAAUCGAAGGAAUUGUAGAACACUUUUCUCAUGCAAAUACGCUCGAUGCGGAGACCCGGAGAAGGGACAACGAACUUCUUUGGGCUGCUUAAAACUUCGAACUUAGGUUCUUUUAAAUUUAAAUGCUCUCCCCGGUCGAACAGCCGUCGUGCGUUCUUCUCUCUAACGGCUUCUCGCGUCGGUGUCGUAUAGAUGGUAAUAAAAAAAAAAAAAAAAAAGAAAAAAAAGAAAAUACGUCACAGCGUACGAACCGUGCGAUAGAUCGCAAUGCCGGAAUAAAAAAAAAAAUGUCAUCGAUAUCUCCUCUUUACGCAUCGAAUAACAUUCGCUGUACGUUCACGAAAUUGUAUCGCGGCUACUUUAACACAUAUUUCAAUGCGAAAGCGAAAAUAGUUUUCAGGGAGAUGGCAAAAAUUCGACCUGUCCGGGAACAAAAUUUUCGAGCAAUUCCAGCGCGUUCGGUCAUUGUUUACCUGGGAAUUUUACAACCUUCAUAAAAGAUCGUACGCGUAUUCGCGUUGCAGUAAUUAUCGAAACGAAUAAAAUUGUCGCCCUGUAUGUAAUAAUAAGCAGACAGGCGAAUAUAAACGUAAUAAUUGCGAAAACGUGCGUUCGAAUCGUAGUAACACGAACGUAUCAAAAAUUAUUAUUUGUCGGUCGAUGUCCAAUGACCAGAAAAAUAUUUGCCUAAAGCGCGAGCACGCCGUUGAUGUGCCUCGAUACGGAUCGCAUUUGAAAUUCGAAUUAUUAUAAUUACGGUGUGCGAUUAAAAAUGAGAAGACAGGAGGGAGGGAUAAAGGGAUGCGUAACCUCCGCUGUUCAAUGAUAUAAUUACAAAGAGUUACAUGGUAGAAUGCGUCUACGAGCUGCGCUUAUUAAACCGAAAAUUUCAUGCGCAUUAAAUUAAGAAUAGAUUGUAUGCAUUAUCAUCGUGUGUAUCCCACAGAUAUUUUUCCCUGGUGAAUAAAAAAUAAUAAAGAAACGAAUGUAAUGAAUAAACGAACGAAAAGCUUGAAUCACCCUUUA